CUGGUUGAUUCUGCCAGUAGUCAUAUGCUUGUCUUAAAGAUUAAGCCAUGCAUGUCUAAGUAUAAGCGACUUAUACGGCGAAACUGCGAAUGGCUCAUUAAAUCAGUUAUUGUUUACUUGAUCAGUAUCUUUUGAUUACUUGGAUAACCGUAGUAAUUCUAGAGCUAAUACAUGCGCAAAAGGCCCGACUUCGCGGAAGGGCUGCACUUAUUAGAUGCAAAUCAACACGGCGGGUCCCCCCGUCGGUUAUGUUGGUGAUUCUGGAUAAUUAAGCGAAUCGCACGGUCUUGUACUGGCGAUGGAUCGAUCAAGUUUCUGCCCUAUCAACUUUGGAUGGUAGUGUAUUGGACUACCAUGGUUAUUACGGGUGACGGAGAAUUAGGGUUCGGUUCCGGAGAGGGAGCCUGAGAGACGGCUACCACUUCCAAGGAAGGCAGCAGGCGCGCAAAUUACCCAAUCCCAAUACGGGGAGGUAGUGACAAUAAAUAACAAUGCAGGCUCUCUACGAGGGCUUGUAAUUGGAAUGAGUACAGCGUAAAUAACUUAACGAGGAACAAUUGGAGGACAAGUCUGGUGCCAGCACCCGCGGUAAUUCCAGCUCCAAUAGCGUAUAUUAAAGUUGUUGCAGUUAAAAAGCUCGUAGUUGGAUCUUGAAGUUCUUUCUUGUACCGUCUCUGCCGGAAGGUAGAGGCGUAUAGGAAUCCUUCUAACUCUCGGAGGUGGCCUUCUGUUCUUAACUGGGUGGUUGGUUGCGCCGAGACGUUUACCUUGAAAAAAUUAGAGUGUUCAAAGCAGGCUACUAGCUAGCCCUGAAUAGAUUAGCAUGGGAUAAUGGAAUACGACGUUGUUCGGUUUCGUCGGUUUACGGACGGCGUAAUGAUCAAUAGGACUGAUCGGGGUUAUUCAUAUUUAAUUGUCAGAGGUGAAAUUCUUAGAUUCUUUAAAGAUGAACGAGGGCGAAAGCAUCUAACAAGGGUGCUUCCAUUGAUCAAGAACGAAAGUUAAGGGAUCGAAGACGAUCAGAUACCGUCGUAGUCUUAACCUUAAACUAUGCGGACCAAUAAUCGGGUCUCGUUAUUCGUACGACCCUCUCGGCGAUUUGUGGGAAACCACGAGUCUUUGCGUUCUGGGGGGAGUAUGGUCGCAAGGCUGAAACUUAAAGGAAUUGACGGAAGGGCACACCAGGAGUGGAGCCUGCGGCUUAAUUUGACUCAACACGGGGAAACUCACUAGGUCAAGACAUAGCAAGGAUUGACAGAUUGAUAGUUCUUUCUUAAUUUCUAUGGGUGGUGGUGCAUGGCCGUUCUUAGUUGGUGGAGUGAUUUGUCUGGUUAAUUCCGAUAACGAACGAGACCACAUCCUGUUAAAUAGUAGCGCCGAUCUUCUAAACGGGUGAAGCGAUUUGACUUCGUUUGUCCGGGAAACUGGGUGGGCGGAUUGGAUCGUGGAUCCUUGAUGCAUCGUGCGCAUUAAUAAUUUACUUCUUAAAGGGACUAUUCACGUUUAGUGACUGGAAGUGUGGCAAUAACAGGUCUGUGAUGCCCUUAGAUGUCCUAGGCCGCACGCGCGCUACACUGGCGGGCUCAGAGAGUAUAUCCUGGCUCUAACGAGUUGGGUAAUCUUAUGAACGUUCGCCGUGACGGGGAUCGAUAAUUGUAAUUAUUUGUCGUGAACGAGGAUUUCCUAGUAGGCGCAGGUCAUCAGCCUGCGCUGACUACGUCCCUGCCCUUUGUACACACCGCCCGUCGCUCCUACCGAUUGAACGGUCCGGUGAAAUCUUCGGAUUGCGUAACGGGGGCCGAAAGGUCUCUUUUGCGUGAGAAGUUGAGUAAACCUUAUCGUUUAGAGGAAGGAGAAGUCGUAACAAGGUUUCCGUAGGUGAACCUGCAGAAGGAUCA
This 1898-nucleotide ribosomal RNA is filed under the name Flamella pleistocenica. RNAcentral's name for it is "SSU rRNA". It matches the Rfam family "Eukaryotic small subunit ribosomal RNA". The record is from RNAcentral. Lineage: Eukaryota; Evosea; Variosea; Flamellidae.